UGGUGGAGUGAUUUGUCUGGUUAAUUCCGAUAACGAACGAGACCUUAACCUGCUAACUAGUCCUACUCAUUUCAUGGGUAGUGACUUCUUAGAGGGACUAUGUGUUAAAAGCACAUGGAAGUUUGAGGCAAUAACA
This 136-nucleotide ribosomal RNA is filed under the name uncultured eukaryote. RNAcentral describes it as "partial 18S ribosomal RNA". It matches the Rfam family "Eukaryotic small subunit ribosomal RNA", at positions 1299 to 1458 of the family's 1831-position model. The record is from RNAcentral.